This 1126-nucleotide ribosomal RNA is filed under the name Klebsiella pneumoniae. RNAcentral's name for it is "bacterial SSU rRNA". It matches the Rfam family "Bacterial small subunit ribosomal RNA", at positions 8 to 1125 of the family's 1533-position model. Lineage: Bacteria; Pseudomonadati; Pseudomonadota; Gammaproteobacteria; Enterobacterales; Enterobacteriaceae. The record is from RNAcentral.
AGAGUUUGAUCAUGGCUCAGAUUGAACGCUGGCGGCAGGCCUAACACAUGCAAGUCGAGCGGUAGCACAGAGAGCUUGCUCUCGGGUGACGAGCGGCGGACGGGUGAGUAAUGUCUGGGAAACUGCCUGAUGGAGGGGGAUAACUACUGGAAACGGUAGCUAAUACCGCAUAAUGUCGCAAGACCAAAGUGGGGGACCUUCGGGCCUCAUGCCAUCAGAUGUGCCCAGAUGGGAUUAGCUAGUAGGUGGGGUAACGGCUCACCUAGGCGACGAUCCCUAGCUGGUCUGAGAGGAUGACCAGCCACACUGGAACUGAGACACGGUCCAGACUCCUACGGGAGGCAGCAGUGGGGAAUAUUGCACAAUGGGCGCAAGCCUGAUGCAGCCAUGCCGCGUGUGUGAAGAAGGCCUUCGGGUUGUAAAGCACUUUCAGCGGGGAGGAAGGCGAUGAGGUUAAUAACCUCAUCGAUUGACGUUACCCGCAGAAGAAGCACCGGCUAACUCCGUGCCAGCAGCCGCGGUAAUACGGAGGGUGCAAGCGUUAAUCGGAAUUACUGGGCGUAAAGCGCACGCAGGCGGUCUGUCAAGUCGGAUGUGAAAUCCCCGGGCUCAACCUGGGAACUGCAUUCGAAACUGGCAGGCUAGAGUCUUGUAGAGGGGGGUAGAAUUCCAGGUGUAGCGGUGAAAUGCGUAGAGAUCUGGAGGAAUACCGGUGGCGAAGGCGGCCCCCUGGACAAAGACUGACGCUCAGGUGCGAAAGCGUGGGGAGCAAACAGGAUUAGAUACCCUGGUAGUCCACGCCGUAAACGAUGUCGAUUUGGAGGUUGUGCCCUUGAGGCGUGGCUUCCGGAGCUAACGCGUUAAAUCGACCGCCUGGGGAGUACGGCCGCAAGGUUAAAACUCAAAUGAAUUGACGGGGGCCCGCACAAGCGGUGGAGCAUGUGGUUUAAUUCGAUGCAACGCGAAGAACCUUACCUGGUCUUGACAUCCACAGAACUUUCCAGAGAUGGAUUGGUGCCUUCGGGAACUGUGAGACAGGUGCUGCAUGGCUGUCGUCAGCUCGUGUUGUGAAAUGUUGGGUUAAGUCCCGCAACGAGCGCAACCCUUAUCCUUUGUUGCCAGCGGU